UUAUUUUUAACAUUACUGUUAGCUUGAUAAACUUGACUCAUCAAAUUCAGUUUAGUCACGAAUUAAUAUUUUUAUAACCGACCAAUAGGUACCUUAACCUUAGGUAUAUGCAUUCAAGGCGAUAUUCCUUUUUAAAGAGCAUUUCAAAAUAUCGAUAAGUUUAACAAAAGCGUUCAGUAAUAAUUUAAUAACAGUGACAGCAUAAAAAUAGUGUAGUCGGUAGUCAAAACUUCAUAUCUAAUUUGUAAACGUUUUUAAAACUAUAUUUUGUUACUAGACGAGAAGAUAUAACGUGACCUAGAUAGUUCUUCACGUAUUUUUAGUUUGCACUUUUUCGAACACAUUUACAAAUACAUAUUCUAAAUUCCGAAUAAUCAACAUUCAUUUACGUGACUACUUAAAUCUUUUUGAAAAGUAAUCCCUCCAUUGCGAAUAAUCCUUGGUACUAGUUGAAAGUUUAAGAUUUCGCAGGCAAACAAAAUAUAUGCAACGAGUACUAGCUUUUAAGCAUUCAAAUUAACCACUAAGAAUUUAUCCCCUGAACAGGUGUAAAUUUUCUAGAUUAGAAAUAUAGCUACAAAACUUAAAAUACAUGGGUUAAGCAAACGGCGCGCAUAAAAGAAUAUCAUUAUAAUAUAAUCAUAUCAUAAGCAAGUAUUAAUUAAGACUGGUUAGCCUAGUCUUUCUAGUAAUGUUAAUAAAAAUACGGUACCAUUUGCUUAUAUUUGUUUAUUAGUUUAGUUAGGUAUUGUUUUUUAAAUUAAUUUUUAGUUGUAAGAUUACUUGACACUCUUUAUUCGCAUGCGGCGUUUACGUUUAGAUUAUUAUUUGUUUAAAAACUUUGUAUUUUUAAUUUUGUAAUUGAUCUAGAUGAUAAAGCUGUUGCUAAACCUAAUAAAAAAAAAAACUAACAAUUUUAGGUUGCUAGAAUGUAUAGACCUGCAUAAAUUCUUAAAGCGAGAUUAGCUGAGAUUAAUCAUACCUGAAUAGAAUGAUAGUUCAAAGACGAAAUCUCUGUUAAAAUAAUACAAAGAGAAUUAGCCGAAAAAACCGAUGAGGUCACAUACUAAGUUUAUAAUACAUAAUGUAUAGACUGUCAUAGGUCUUAAGUAAAUUAAUAUGUACAUGCAAAAUCUGGAUUGGCAUCAGUUGGAAAAAUAAUAUGCGAAGAGUAUAAUAAUAAUAUGGUUUAGAAUAGAGAAUGUAUAUUGCAGAUCAAUAUUGAUUACUAAAUUGAAAUCAGAUACCUAAGUAAGUGUAGAUCGAUAAAAAAUCCAUGUAAUCUUUAAGGUCAGAAAUGGUUAACAAAAUUAGAUUACACUAACAGCGCAUUACAGAUAAGAAAAACAGAAUCAUAAACAAAUUAUAAGAAAGUUGGGCUAGUGGUCAAAUAAAACGGACAGACGAGAAUAGGUUUAAUAUUUCUAUAAUAUCACAUUACAGUUAAGUCUAGUUAGAAAUACAAAUCUACGCCUUGACAUAGUGUAUAUAUGUACUUAGUCUAGAUAAAACAAAAUACGAACAAUGCAGAUUGCAGAUCAAUAUUUAUUUACAAGAAUGAAAUCAGGUAUCGGCAAAAAAUCCGAUUAUUUAGAAUAAUUAGGUGCAACGGCAUUCAAUUUAGCCUCGAGUAAUUUGUAAGAUCUGAAAUAUCUAAUUAAAAUAGGUUAGACUAACGGCGCGCACUACAGAUAAAAAAUAUCACUAUAGUAAUAAUGUGUACUUAAUAAUUAAGAACUGUCUAGUACAAUAGUCAUUAAUUGAGAAUAUGAUUUAAUCACAAUUAAGUCUAAUUGAUAAGAUAUUAUACUACCUACAACUUGAUAAAAUUUAAAAACAAUACAAACUCAUAAUACUCAUUAUACAAAAAGAUACAAUUAACAAUACCUACGACUUGACAAAAAGUUCAUUUAUAAUAUAAAUAAUAUUAAAAAAUAUAUAGUAUAAACAUCUAUGUAUAUAAAUAAGUUAAAAACAAAGAAUACAAACUCAUGUUCCCAAAAGGGUUAUUAGCUUUGGACAUUAAAUAAAGUGUUAAAAUUGAACUAACAACAUUAUUAGAAACUACAUACAUAAUAUUCUAUAGGAAAAUAUUACAAAUGCAAUAGUGAAUUCUGAUCUUAGAAUAGUUGCACCGAGUGCAAAUGUUGGCCUUUAGUUAGCAGUUUAGCACGUCAAUUAUUCUUAGCUUUAAUCAUUAUAUUUAGUAAUAUAGUGUUCAAGUGGUAGAAGAACUAGUAGAUAAAGCAUAACUGAGAACAUACAAUAAUUACUAUAAUACAGGUUUUAAUGAAUAGGUAAAUAAUAUAAUUAAGGGUAGUGCAAUGAACUGCAAGUAAAAAGAUUAAUUUAACAUUAACACAACAUUAAUGUCCCUUUAUUAUUUAAGUCAAUACGUGCCUUAUAUUAAUAUGCCUACAGCAAUGAUCAUACCAUAGAAAAAUUAUACUUUAAUUAACUUAAAUUAGUACUGCAAUAUAGUGCAAUAUACUGCAAUGUAGUGUAAUUGGAGAUAAAUAUGUAAUAAAAUAAUGGCACUCUUCGCUCAUCAGCCACGCAAUUUAAAACAAGCGUAACAAAAAGUAAAAACCCGUCAUAGUUACACCUAAAUAAUGCAGGGCCUAAACAUAGUAGCUAUUCAAUUGUAAGGAGGAUAAACAAUAAUACAAUAUUUUAGGAAUUCAACACUCUGGGCGUGAGUGAUUUAUUUAAAUAGAAUGAGAUGGGAUAGAUAUUAUUACAGAGAGAGAAAAUAUAUAUAAUUCUGUAAUAGGUACAGUAGUGUGAGCAGCGCAUGUAUAGAUCGUAAGGCCGGUUAGGACUACUGUCUUAUAACUUAGGACCUGCAAAUAAAUAAGUGUAGAAAGCACAAUGGUAAAUUUUAGGAGCUAUGAAUUAUACUAUUUAUCUUUUAUCUAAUCAUGAUAAUUUAAUUUUUGAGGUAAUCAACUGUAAAAACAAAAUAGUAAUUUGAAACAUAAGCACAUGCUUUGAGAAUACCAUAUACAAGAUAACGCUCUAGUUCUGGUAGUGAACUGCGCAAAAGUAAAAUGCUUCGUUAGUAUCUCGAAUUAAAACAUUAGGGCAAAUAAGCAAAUAGUAGGCAGGUGUAAUUAGGUUUAAAUAACAAAAUAAUGCUUAUAGGCAACGAUUAGAAAUGCAGAAAGCAAUUAAGUUGAAAAAAUAACUAGAUAAUAAUAUACUACCUGUACUACCUAGGUGUACCUCAAAUGAUUUAAUAAUAUGUACUUUAUGAGGAGGAGAAAAAUAUAUAAUAUUUAUAAUUUAUGUAUUUAUUAGGCUAGGCACAUAGAAACUUAUGUGAUUAAAUAUUAUUAAAUUAAAAAUACGUAAUAUAUUGUAAGUUUAAAUUGGAGACCAUUAAGAAAAUAGUAAAAACACAACGUUCUAAAAUUCAGGAUACUCAAAACUCAUUGAUUUAAGUAGAUAACUGCUUUAGUGAAAUAGACAAAUCCUUUAUUUACACACAAUACAAUUACACUCAAAAAACAAUAAAUUGUAAAAUGCUUACGUGACUAAAAAUUACUAAAAAAUAAAAAUACGUAAUUUAUAUUGUAAGUUUGGAGACAUUUAGACUAGUGUAGCGCAUUAGGAAAAGAAAAUGGCAAUAAGCCAACGUUUCAAAAAUCAAGAUGAUCAAAACUCAGGUUAAGUAGAUAACUGAUUUAGUUAGAUAGAUAAACUCUUUAUAGCUACACAAAACAUUACAUUCGAAAAACAAAACAAAUAGAAUAAAAAUAGGUACGUAAUAUAUUGUAAGUUAAGACAUUUUGUACUAGGAAAAGGAAAUAGCAAUAAGCCAACGUUUCAAAAAUUAAGAUGAUAUAAACUCAGGUUAAGUAGAUAACUGAUAUAGUUAGACAGAUAAACUCUUUAUUGCCACACGAAACAUUAUAUUCGAAAAACAAAACAAAUAGAAUAAAAAUAGGUACGUAAUAUGUUGUAAGCUUAGACAUUUUGUACUAGGAAAAGAAAAUAGCAAUAAGCCAACGUUUUGAAAAUCAAGAUGAUCAAAACUCAGGUUAAGUAGAUAACUGAUUUAGUUAGAUAGAUAAAUUCUUUAUUGCUACACAAAACAUUACAUUCGAAAAACAAAACAAAUAGAAUAAAAUUAGGUACGUAACAUGGUGUAAGUUUAGACAUUUUGUACUACGAAAAGAAAAUAGCAAUAAGCCAACGUUUCAACAAUCAAGAUGAUCAAAACUCAGGUUAAGCAGAUAACUGAUUUAGUUGAUAGAUAAAUUCUUUAUUGCCACACAAAACAUUACAUUCGAAAAUCAAAACAAUUAGAAUAAAAAUAGAUACGUAAUAUGUUGUAAGUAGACAUUUUGUACUAGGAAAAGAAAAUAGCAUUAAGCCAACGUUUCAUAAAUCAAGAUGAUCAAAACUAAGGUUAAGUAGAUAACUGAUUUAGUUAGAUAGAUAAAUUCUGUAUUGCCACACAAAACAUUAUAUUCGAAAAACAAAACAAAUAGAAUAAAAUUAGGUACGUAACAUGGUGUAAGUUUAGACAUUUUGUACUAGGAAAAGAAAAUAGCAUUAAGCCAACGUUUCAACAAUCAAGAUGAUCAAAACUCAGGUUAAGCAGAUAACUGAUUUAGUUGAUGGAUAAAUUCUUUAUUGCCACACAAAACAUUACAUUCGAAAAUCAAAACAAUUAGAAUGAAAAUAGAUACGUAAUAUGUUGUAAGUAGACAUUUUGUACUAGGAAAAGAAAAUAGCAAUAAGUCAACGUUUCAAAAAUCACGAUGAUCAAAACUCAGGUUAAGGAGAUAACUGAUUUAGUUAGAUAGAUAAACUCUUUAUAGCUACACAAAACAUUACAUUCGAAAAACAAAACAAUUAGAAUAAAAAUAGGUACGUAACAUGUUGUGAGUUUAGACAUUUUGUACUAGGAAAAGAAAAUAGCAAUAAGCCAACGUUUCAUAAAUCAAGAUGAUCAAAACUCAGGUUAAGUAGAUAACUGAUUUAGUUAGAUAGAUAAACUCUUUAUAGCUACACAAAACAUUACAUUCGAAAAACAAAACAAUUAGAAUAAAAAUAGGUACGUAAUAUUAUGUUGUAAGUUUAGACAUUUUGUACUAGGAAAAGAAAAUAGCAAUAAGCCAACGUUUUAAAAAUCAAGAUAAACUUAGGUUAAUAAGUAGGUAGAUAACUAUUACGUUAUAUAAAUUUUAUUCUUAAUUGCCAAACUCAACAUGACAUUGAAAAACAAAAGAAACAGAAAAUAAUGUUUGCGAAGGUAAAAAUUAUAAAAAAUUAAGAAAACGAUUCUGUAUUCAAUCUUUAUUAUUUUCUAAUAUCAAUAAAUGAUGACUUAUCUACCAAAUAAAGCUAAUUUAGAUAAUACCAGUUAGGUACUAUAACUUCGAGUAUGUUUGCUACUAUCGUUACCAAAUGCCAAUGUAUUUGUUACCAGUUUGUUUUAACUUAGGGAAUUUUGGUUAAUAUUUUUGAGAUUACCCAUUAUUACGUAAUAGGAGCUUCACAAAGUUAGUCUUUGAGGAUUUUUUUUAAAUACCUUGAUGAAAUCAUAGUUAAGCACUAGUAAGUGACAGAGUGCCAAAUUAUAGUGCAUCAUCAUAUUUUAGUUUAUUUCACAACAUGAACAAAUCGAUGAGUAAGAGUGAGAGAGUAAUAAUAAAGAUUUAACUACUAUCAACCUAUAUAUGCAGUAGUAUAGUCACAGAUUUCAACAUGUUUCGUAAUCUUUUCUUUAAAACGUUUUUAAAAGUACCAAACUUAAAAUUAUUUUGUUGGAUUUUAACUGGUUUUGCUUUAAGAGGUAAUUUUGUUAUACCUACUGUGCGUAAUUUAUAGAGUAAUAUGUUAUAUUUGUUAUAAUAUACAUGAGUAUUCGUAGCUUAAUAGGAUCUGAGUAUAAAUGAGUCUAAACGACAGACAAAAUGUAGAUAAACAAAUAGAAAUGAAGAUGCGAAAAUGUAGAUUCUGAAGAAACUUAAAAAUUCUAUAAAAAUGAAAUAAAACCAUAUGAACCUUAAAAUACGUGAAUAUAUUAUUUUUAUAGUUAUUGAACAUACAAUUUGUUAAAUCGUUAUUUGACAAAUAUGUCUGCGGAUUAAUAAUUGUGAAGAAUCGAAAUUUUCAAAAAAAAAAAAUGGUCUCAAUUACACGCUUCACGCUUAUAGUUGAGUUUAUAUUAUCAGUACAAAACCACCAGCUAAUAAGCUAGAUUAGUAAAGUAAGCUUUAAGCUUGCCAGCAGGUUUGAUUGUAGCCAAGCGCUAUAGGUACUAUAAAAAAAGUGAAUGUGUACUUGGUAGGUAAAUAAUAUCAGCUCUGUAUUUCUGUGUACUCUGUAGCCUAACUUUAUUUCACAAGGUGAGCAAAAUGAGUAAGCGAAUAUCUAUUUAUGAAGAAAUCAACUUAAAUCUACGAAUUCAGAAAGUUUUAUAGUCUGCUUGUAGUUCUUAUUUCAACAGGUUUCGAAGGUUUAUACGAAGAGAGAUACUAAAGAUAUUCUAAAGAACGAAUUUGUUGAAAGGAAUUAUUCAACAGAAGAAAAACAUGAUUGUCUAGUUAUGGUGGGUUUCACAACACCUAUGUCGACGAAUUGGUGAUCAAAUUAAACUAUUUAAACGUUAGCCGCGUCUGUAACUUGCUUGGAUAAAUAUUUUUAGUAAGCUUUAUUUAUAUGAUUAGAGAGAGGACAAAGAAAAGACAAUAGAACACUACAAAUUGGUGAUUACUGAUUACGAGAAACUAUUAUGUUAAUAGUCAGUUUUGAUAUUAAGUUAAUCGUUAUAAAUGAAAUAAUAAAUAGCAGGAUAAAAAAUCAUGAGUCUUAAUUGUAGGCAAAUUAUUGAUAUAUUGAAUGUUAAAGUAAGUCACUUGGUGAUAAUAUCGUACCCAAAAGGAAACUAUUCACAAAUUCUAAGCAAUCAGUAAUUAGUAUACAUUAUGAAUUCAGAAUAAAAUAUACAAAGAAAGAAAACAUAAAGGUAUUUAUGAUGGGUAGUGGUUGGUUUCAUUGAUGUAGGAGGAAUGUUGAAAGUGAAACUAUUCAAAAGUUAACAAUAGUCUUGUUUGCGUUCAUUUACGUUUUCAAAGAGAAAUAACAAAUAGGUACACGUAAAGGGACUUCACGAACUCAUGAAACACAAUAAAAGAUAUAACUACCGAUAGAUUCAUAAGGAAGUAAAUUGUUGAAAGAAAGAAUGAAACAUGAUUAGCUAGUUAGUAGUAAGUAGUGGUAGAUAAUUUUACAAUUAGUUAGUCAUGAAAUGAAACUAUUUAUAACCUUAUCUGUUAAUUUCAUAGGUAACACUGUUAAUAAACUUCACAUUUACAAAGAGAUGAUAAGAAAAGACAAUAAUUUAAUUACGUGAAGGACUUUAAUACUUUAUAUGAAUUAACAAAUUGGUGAAUCAACGAAAGUAUUUAUUCAAAAUUGGCUAAUAGUCAUAUUCGUUAAUGUUUAUAGUUAAAAAAAUAUAAACGACACUGGGCUUUAGUAAGGAAUAGGAACGAUUGAAACAAUAUAUGAAUUGCCGUGCCGGAUAUAAAAUUCGCGAGUCCUUACGUAGGUAAAUUACUGAUAUAUUUAAUGUUAAACAAAAUAAAUUGUUGACAAUACAGUAUGAAAAAAUCACACAUGAAUAAAACAAACAAUAUGCAUUAUGAGUUCAGAACAAAAUUAAGAAGGAAAAACAUAAAAAUGGUGGGUAGUUGUUUUCACAAUACUGUUAGCAAAUUGGUGAUCAAAUUAAACUAUUUGAAGUUAACAAUAGUCUUGUUUGUGUUCAGUUAGUAUUACACGUAUAUCAUAGACACUAGAUAAUAAAAGACGAAUAAUAGCUACAUGUAAAGAGACUUCACAAACUAAUGAAACAUAAAAAGAUAUAUUUAUAAACAUUAGACAUGGAUUCUAAGAAAGAGUAAAAUGUUCAAAGAAAAAGGAAAACAUUAAUGGCAAUGGUAGUUAAUUUGUAGUAGAGGUAGAUGAUUUUACAAUAUUAAGUUAGCCUUUGCUUAAAUUGUUUAAAUAGUUAAUAUUGUUAGUAAGCUUUAUAUGAAUAAAGAGAUGAUUAAGAAAAGACAAAAAUAAAUACGUAAACUUACUAAUAUGAUAAUAAUUCAAAUAUUAAUUCAAAUAAUUGGCGAAUAUUCAAAAUUAAACAAUAGUCAUGUUUGUUUGUACUAGCGUAAAUAUUGAGAUUAUAUUAAGAUUACAAAUGGCACAGUUUAAAUAGGAAAUAGGAAUAACUAAAACAGUUUAUAUAUAAAUUGACGUUUACUGCAGAUAAAUUAGUGAUAACUAAUAACAUAUAAGUUAAUUGGUGACAAUACUGUAAACAAAAUAAAAAUACAAAUUCAGUACAAUCAGUAGGUAAUACAAAUAUUUAACAAUUAUUGUAGGUUAUCACGUCAUAGUAUAUAUUACCUAUAGUCUAGUUAUAAGGUUAUAAUUGAAAGAAAAAAUGUUCCGGGAACAGUGAACGACUAAUCAUACGUAAAUAGAUAACACAACGUGUCUUGAUUUAAAAAAUGCACUCAAAAGUAAAACUACAACAAUAGUACCUAGGUAGUUGAGAUUUCACAUAAAUAAUGAAAUGAAACUAAAAUUAAAGGAACUUUCUACAAUAAAUUAUUUAUAUUUAUACGUACUCGUAGAGCUUAGAUAAUAUUAUUGUUAGAAAGCUUAUAUUAAUAAGUACUAGACAAUAAAGAAGUCUUUGUAUCAAUUGGCACUACAAGAUACAAGCAAAAUGCAUAAGCCAUGUAUAGAUUUUUUAUAUUUUUCAAUUGUAGCCAAUAAACAUGUUUAUUUGUAUUUUUAUGUAGAAAUGUAAAUAAGAAAGGCAUUUGUUUUACAUAAGAAAACAGUAAUUUUUAGAUGGGUAAUUUUGAGGUAAUUUCUACACAUUACGUGACAUAAAAGUAACGAACCCUUAUUAUUAAUUAAUUAGGUAAAGCAAAUUGGUUAGACGCAAUAUGUGAGAAUUCAGGAAAGUCGGAACAAAUACCUACUAUAAGCUUUAUAUCGAUGAUCGAAGAUGAUAAAGAAAAAGACAAUGAAUGACAUGAAUUUAUUAUUCUAUGUUUUAGUUUUUAGGUAAAUUCUAAUAAAACAUUUAUCUUACAAAAGAAGGUCAACUAGGUACAUGUUAUAUUUAUAGUUAGUGAGUUGAUAAGAAAUCUAUUGACUUCUUAUACAUAUAAGAAAAAACAGAACGCCUGAAACUAUAUAUUUAUUUUAUUCAAGGAUAAUAUAAAAAUCAGGAGCAGCGAUAUACUUUUUAAUUUAUAUUAUUUGAAGUACGAUAUAAGUUAUAAAUGAAGCUAAGAUAAACAUCAUACAUAAGACAUUUAGAACAAAUACUCUAUAAGUCUAGGUUAUUAAUACAAUCAUAUCAAAACCGUAGUCUAGUUGUAAGAUAACAGGAUGCAACGUAAUUAGGAACCAAACUGAUAUAGUACUGAAAUAGAUUUUAUAUAGUCAGAUUGUAUAUUAAGAACAAGGAAAUAAAAGAAGAAAUAAAAGUAACCGUAAAUAUAGGUAGUUAAUUUCACAAUACAUAUUAUUAUGUCGACAAAGUGGUGAUAAAUCAUACCUUAGGUACCUAAAGCUUAAUGGUCUAGUUUGUAAAUAAGUAGUUGAGGUAAUAUUGUCAGUUAGCUAACAAAACGUUGCGUUAAGACUUCAAAAUAUGACACAGUUAAAUAAGCGAAAGUUUUCAAAAUUAAAAAAUAAAUAAAUUUCAGUUUUAAAUUUUUUAUUGUGAAUUUGGGUUACCUAGUUUACAGAUCUUAAUAUUGUUAGGUUCUGCCAAAUUCUACCUUAUGCCAUGCAAUAAUACAGUCAAUGUUGUCAUUAAAUUAAUAUUACUAUAGCAUUCUCAUUAACAUUCAUCAGUAUCAUUAACUACAGAGUAUCUACUUUGUACGAGCUGAAACAUAAAAGGGAGGAAGCUAAUAGUUGAAAGAUGAACUGUAAAUUAAUAAUAGCACAAGUAAACUCAUAGAAUUUAAAAAAAUUAGCCAAGAAAGGUCUUUGUUGGUAUAGUACAGUAAUCAUUAUUGAUUAUUAUAUUAAAGCUUUGGUAAAGUAGUUUUUCCAGAUAAAAAUAUGUAGUAGGUACGUAAUGUAAUCUUAAACCACAGUUAGGUGUCAAGUUACAUAUAAAAGCAGAAAAUUGUAAUAUUAUCUUAUGAAAGUGAUCUCAUAAUAUAAUAUUAUAGGUUUUCCAUAAAAACUUCAUACAGAGGCUUCAUAAAAGAUUACCCCCCAACGUCUAUCGUUUCGUCGUAACUCGUAGUGCCCUGCCCAAAAUAAAA
Maniola jurtina (meadow brown) is the source of this 10319-nucleotide long non-coding RNA. RefSeq lists it as uncharacterized. The record is from RefSeq and is a predicted model, not a curated record. Lineage: Eukaryota; Metazoa; Arthropoda; Insecta; Lepidoptera; Nymphalidae. The transcript is spliced from 3 exons.